Molecule: unclassified non-coding RNA, 380 nt
Filed under: uncultured bacterium
Lineage: Bacteria
Description: contains 16S-23S intergenic spacer region
Source: RNAcentral
UCGCGGCUUAUCACCGGCAGUCCCCUUAGAGUGCCCAACUGAAUGAUGGCAACUAAGGGCGAGGGUUGCGCUCGUUGCGGGACUUAACCCAACAUCUCACGACACGAGCUGACGACAACCAUGCACCACCUGUCACUCUGUCCCCCGAAGGGGAAAGUCCUAUCUCUAGGAUUGUCAGAGGAUGUCAAGACCUGGUAAGGUUCUUCGCGUUGCUUCGAAUUAAACCACAUGCUCCACCGCUUGUGCGGGCCCCCGUCAAUUCCGUUGAGUUUCAGCCUUGCGACCGUACUUCCCAGGCGGAACACUUAAUGCGUUAGCUACGGCACGGAGAGGGUCGACACUCCCCACACCUAGUGUUCACCGUUUACAGUAGGGACUAC